Long non-coding RNA from Varroa destructor (honeybee mite), 3184 nucleotides. Lineage: Eukaryota; Metazoa; Arthropoda; Arachnida; Mesostigmata; Varroidae. The record is from RefSeq and is a predicted model, not a curated record.
AGCCAGCCUAUCCCUAUCUUCUGCGGUUGCGGUCGAUGCCAGAAAAGACGAGGCAAAAAGGACUGUUGUAGCUGUAAUAGUAGCAGCAAGCAUAACAGAAGUGAGCCUUUGAAGAUGUGGCGAGGUGAACAGUGUACAACAAGCGACAGUAACAUCCUUCACAAAGACCGGUUGAGAAAGGGCCUUCAGUAUAAGGAGGCAGAAGCAGGACGAAGAUGGCAAUGGUGGAAGAGGGGUUAGCGAAAGAAAAACGAAGGGCUCCUUGCCGAUGCUUCCGACCAACGGCCUGGCUACACCGUUCUCCGUUGUUUGCUGUAGCUGCUGUCGUAUCCGUUGCCGCAGCAAGGAAUCUGUCCUGUCAGACAGUUACCGGUCAGAAGCUCCCUCCCCUGUCCUCGUGUCAUGGUGUCGUGCCGGCAGUUCUCGUACUCUGGACAGCUCUAUUCGAGCCUCUAGCGGCAACUCUACGAGCAGCGGCGGUGAAGAACGAACCUUUAGUUACUUAGGGACGCGUAAACGCACCCCCACCUUCAAUGGCAGUGCUCAGCCUCUGGUGUCAGUAUCAUACACACAUACGGUUGAAAGCAGAAGCAGCAAGCCCGCCCAGUAGUUUGCUUGAGAGGCGUUUCUUUUUCCUUCCUCUAAUGAUUCUUCUGUACCUAUUCGGCCGCUAUAUCUGACAUUUUCCUUUGUGUAUAUGCCCACGAACGUCAGUCACCGGUUCUAUGGCAUGGGCUGACACGUAGCCUAAGACCGUAGAAACUGACGUUUCUGACCAUUAUGGCUCCAGAAGUGUAUUUUUCUCUAAAAGCCCACGUAUCACUAUGGCCUGACCAUGCGUAUCUAAAAGGAUUUUACCCUUCGCUUACGGUUAGCAGCGCUACGACUCGGAAGACGAAGGAUUCACGAAGGAGACGAUGCCGGAACUUUUGUGACGCUUGCCUGAUCUGAAGACGAACUCAACCAUUUCCUUGAGCGGACCACAUGCGACAGCGUAUCGAGCUCCGUCGUAAAAGAUAUGGAAAAUUAACCUGAAAAACUUCGUGUCUACCUUCAGCUGAUCGCAAUUCCUCUCAUCUAAUCAAACGUUGCAAGACGGUCGGCACAUACAUAUAAAUUAGCGGAACAGGUGUAUGGCGAGCAAACGCAAACCCGCCUUAAUUUAAACGAAUUCGAUCUAGACUUCAACCAGCUUCAAAGCAGGCAACAUCUCUGGUAUCCCUGUCGUCAAUCAGCCCCUUUCUCGCCGUUGGUCUUAUUUCAUACGUUCUUCCGGCCGAUCGCCGCAUGUCCCUGCACCGUUUGAUAGAUGAACGUAUUCGACCUUUGGUCACUCGUCUAAACAGUAUGACUUCCUUAGGUUCGGGCGUGGCCGCCGUGCAGCUGUUUCUACUUCUCGACCUUGUCUACGUAAUAGAGUCACCAGCAGCUAUAAUAGUAGCUACGCUGUAACAGUUGAACAACACAGCAUGGCAUAACCUGACAAGCACCAAUUUUAGCCGUUCCUGUUGCCUUUUGAUCGACUACAUCAUCAUCUCCGGAUGUUUCACAGUUCUGACGAGGGGAGAAGGUGGCAAGGGAACAAUGUCGCUGAGUAUUGAGCGUUACUUCUGCCGCUGGUUAUGGACGUCGUCGAUUAUUCUCUUUGAUGAUCGUGAUGCCGUUGGUGUUGCUAAUGCGCCGAUGCUGAUGAUCACUAGAGCGAGGUUACCGCAGACAGUGGCGCUAGAUGGAUGGGUUUGUGACGUGGCGCACACGUCAUUUGCGUUUUCGAAGCAGCAGCCCACCGCCAUAGUGUAUUUCCCACCAGCAUGGCAUACGUUGACGACAACAACCAGUCAACCAAUCAAAGCUUGUUGCCUUAGUGGUAAGCUUACAGCAUUGCUCGUCGAUUUGCCAACCACACGCGGUACCAGCGGUGGUGGCUACGGCAGCGAAAGCAUGAGGGCAAAUGACCUCCCUUUUUAUACGACUUGCUAAGCAUCCACGAUGUUCAUCGCUGUUCAUUCAUGACGUUCGUCCGUUUCUCGUACGGCCGAAGGAUCUCGCGCUCUCGCCGUCGUCUGCCGCUUCGAAGCGGAAGCAGGAUGGCGGGCACAAUUCAAGCGAUGACUCGCGUAACACGGACUCGACUGAAGGAGGCAGAAGGAGUGGACGAAAAAGUUAGCGGGAAGAGUCGGCGACUAAAAGAGAUGUGUCGGAAAAGUCGAUGACGACGCUGGAUGCUGGGAAGCGUAGUGGGCAGGACAUGGAAAAAUCGGUGAUGGCAUUAAGCGUAAUACCAUGUGUUGCCAAUGGUAGGAAGUCCAGUUUGCAAUAUUAGAUGAAGCAGAAGUGAAUAUUGUUUUAAUUUGGUUAUUUAAUAGUAAAUACAACAGCCACUUUCAGGCUAGUGAGAUCGUGCUCGUGCAGUCCGAGCUCCGAAAAGAGUUAGAGCACCUGCUAAGCAUGCUCUGUAUAUUAGACGAACGAGCACUGAGGAUCAUAGCAAUGGCUAUUAACUUACAUGUUGGCACAGUCAGUCGCUACUAACACGAUAGGUGUACGCUUUUUAUCUUUUUUUUUUUUACAUGUUUUUAUCUUCAAAUUAGAGUCUGCUAUCUUUUUCAUUAACUUGACUAACAUUAGAAGCGUUUUUGAUGUUUGAAUUUAAGAACAUCAGUUUGAAGGCCGUCAGGGACAAGUCUGCUGUGCCGCUAGCAACCAUUAACUUCGAAGUUGCAUAACAUGGCUAACAAAUGCGAAGAUGCCGUGGAGAAUAAAAGAAUAGUCGUUCAGCUCCGGCUCGUAAACGCCCCUUAGAUUUCGAAACCCCAAUACCCCAUAAAAGGACAGUACAUCUAUUUACAGACAUGUCACAAUCUGCAGGGCACAUCUGCGAGACACUAUUAAAUUUUGAUUUGACAGCGUACCAAAUUUUGCAUUCCAUGGUUAUCAUCUGUAACGAUGAAAUCGAUUGCUUAAUCCCGUACAACCAAUCCCUACUAAAUUCAUUGCUUUCUGAAAAUUUCACAUUUUACAGUCUUACACUUAUUUGUGGAUUAUGUUUUUUUAGAUGUUCAUUAAAAAUAGACAGAGUCACUUAAACACGGCAUACACGCAUCAUUGUGCGCCUUAAUAUCGUCACGGCAAUUUAUUGCUAGAUUAAAUUAUUUUCUACGUCCGCACGUUAUGGUGAGACGUG